CACGGUCCAGACUCCUACGGGAGGCAGCAGUGGGGAAUAUUGCACAAUGGGCGCAAGCCUGAUGCAGCCAUGCCGCGUGUAUGAAGAAGGCCUUCGGGUUGUAAAGUACUUUCAGCGAGGAGGAAGGUGUUGUGGUUAAUAACCGCAGCAAUUGACGUUACUCGCAGAAGAAGCACCGGCUAACUCCGUGCCAGCAGCCGCGGUAAUACGGAGGGUGCAAGCGUUAAUCGGAAUUACUGGGCGUAAAGCGCACGCAGGCGGUCUGUCAAGUCGGAUG
RNAcentral lists this ribosomal RNA (277 nucleotides) under Citrobacter freundii. RNAcentral's name for it is "partial 16S ribosomal RNA". It matches the Rfam family "Bacterial small subunit ribosomal RNA", at positions 325 to 594 of the family's 1533-position model. RNAcentral also lists the same sequence under 3 other names. The record is from RNAcentral. Lineage: Bacteria; Pseudomonadati; Pseudomonadota; Gammaproteobacteria; Enterobacterales; Enterobacteriaceae.